AUACGGAGGGUGCAAGCGUUGUUCGGAAUUACUGGGCGUAAAGCGCGUGUAGGCGGCUUCGCAAGUCGGGUGCGAAAUCCCGGGGCCCAACCCCGGAACUGCACCCGAAACUGCGAGGCUAGAGUCCCGGAGAGGAUGGCGGAAUUUCCGGUGUAGAGGUGAAAUUCGUAGAUACCGGAAGGAACACCAGUGGCGAAGGCGGCCAUCUGGACGGUGACUGACGCUGAGGUGCGAAAGCGUGGGGAGCAAACAGGAUUAGAAACCCGAGUAGUCC
This 274-nucleotide ribosomal RNA is filed under the name uncultured bacterium. RNAcentral describes it as "partial 16S ribosomal RNA". It matches the Rfam family "Bacterial small subunit ribosomal RNA", at positions 523 to 796 of the family's 1533-position model. The record is from RNAcentral.